This 465-nucleotide ribosomal RNA is filed under the name Vreelandella stevensii. RNAcentral's name for it is "partial 16S ribosomal RNA". It matches the Rfam family "Bacterial small subunit ribosomal RNA", at positions 338 to 795 of the family's 1533-position model. Lineage: Bacteria; Pseudomonadati; Pseudomonadota; Gammaproteobacteria; Oceanospirillales; Halomonadaceae. The record is from RNAcentral.
CCUACGGGGGGCAGCAGUGGGGAAUAUUGGACAAUGGGCGAAAGCCUGAUCCAGCCAUGCCGCGUGUGUGAAGAAGGCCUUCGGGUUGUAAAGCACUUUCAGUGGGGAAGAAAGCCUUGGGGCUAAUACCCUCGAGGAAGGACAUCACCCACAGAAGAAGCACCGGCUAACUCCGUGCCAGCAGCCGCGGUAAUACGGAGGGUGCGAGCGUUAAUCGGAAUUACUGGGCGUAAAGCGCGCGUAGGCGGUCUGAUAAGCCGGUUGUGAAAGCCCCGGGCUCAACCUGGGAACGGCAUCCGGAACUGUCAGGCUAGAGUGUAGGAGAGGAAGGUAGAAUUCCAGGUGUAGCGGUGAAAUGCGUAGAGAUCGGGAGGAAUACCAGUGGCGAAGGCGGCCUUCUGGACUGACACUGACGCUGAGGUGCGAAAGCGUGGGUAGCAAACAGGAUUAGAUACCCGGGUAGUC